CUGAUACCAUUUGUUGGAUUUGAAUGGAGAAAAAACUAAUAACAUAUUUAUUCUAGAACAAGUAGAAGAGAAAAGGCAUAAAUUCAUUGCUGAAAACAAAGGAUUUACAAACGCAAUUUUAAAGUUUUUUUUUCUGUCUUUUCUUCCUCACUUUGCUAGAUCUCUCAAACUUUCUUUCCAGCUCUCUCAAGUUCUCUCUACACUCUCUCUUCUUCCAGCAGCAACCUCUUCCUUUUUUAGGGUAAAAUUUGCUUUCUUUUGUCAACUAAUGCCAUACUUACACAAUGCUUAGGUAUGAGUCUUUUCUUUUCUUGUACAUAUAGAUAUUCACCUACUAAAAUCUCAUAAACUCCAACAAAUUGGCACCUCACAAGCAAGAAAUUGAAGCCAUGAAUUUCUACCAUAUGAAGACUGAGGGAAUAGAGAUUAUUAUUUUGUUUGGAUGUGCAUGAGAUAUUAGGAAUAUGCAUAUACGAGGUUCAAGUACUCUCGUCCUUGGGCUACUUUGAUUACUUUGACUUGGCAUUUUUCAGUGCAUUACUUAAUGCACAAAAAUUUUAGUUUCUGCAAAAUAUCUCAUUAUAGGAUUUGAAGUUACAAAAUUAACCUAUUUAUUCUAACUGAAGCAUGAGAGCAUGGUGGUGGAGCCUGAAAGUGAUAAUCCUUCCUUGGAGAAAGUAGAUGUACAGCCUGAAAACACAAAUCCUGCCGUGGAGAGUGUUGAACUACAACAAGCAAACUCUUCUAAAACCCCUCUUAAAAAGAAAGCAAAGAAAUUCCCUGCUAAAGUUAGGCGUUCUGAACGUCUUCAAAAUGCAGUUAUGGAUACGGAAAACCAAGACAUUGAGUGUAUUCUUGAAGAGAUAACUGUCAGUGAAAGCGAGCAAGAAGUUGAGCCUUCAAAUGAGGAAUUGCCAGAGCCUACUUUGAAUGGGAAAAACUUGCAUGAAAAGGUUGACUAUCUUGUACAACUUUUGAAGACACAACAAAAGACCAUAGAUGCAUUUAAUUCUAGGGCAACUGGGAAAACAUUCUGUAGUGAAGAAGACUCUGGUAUGGGAGAUAUCAAUUAUAAAAGCUUGUAUAUUGACUGCCAAAAGAAGGUUGAAGCUCUGACAGAGGAAAAUCAUCAGCUAAAUAGAAAGUUGGAAUUUGCUCUUGGAAAAAUUGAAGUAUAUGAGAAGGGGUAUCAUGUAGCUCCUGAAGUGUUGGAGAAGUUGAAAGAUUUAUUUAAAGAUGCAUUAUGGUUAUCAAGUCUGACACGAGUAACUGAAGCAACACGCAAUUAUACUGCACCUGAAAUUGGCCAUGAUUGCAAGAAUUCUGCCAAGAGGAAGAGACAGACUGACAAGAACUAGGGUGUGAUAUGGAUUACUAUAACUUAUUAGCUUUUGUGCGAAUGUAGUUUGAUGGAUAAGUGUAGUGAUUCCAUUAUGAGUACCAGAUUGAUCAUGUAUUUUGUAACUGCCAGUUGGGCUUUGGUCAUGUGUCUUUUGGAAUUAAGGGAAUCCUCUAAUUUCUUGAAAUCAGAUGAAAUUGUUUUAUUCUAAGGUAAAAAAGACCCCAAGAGAAG
RNAcentral lists this unclassified non-coding RNA (1573 nucleotides) under Hevea brasiliensis (rubber tree). The record is from RNAcentral. Lineage: Eukaryota; Viridiplantae; Streptophyta; Magnoliopsida; Malpighiales; Euphorbiaceae.